UACGUAGGGUGCGAGCGUUAAUCGGAAUUACUGGGCGUAAAGGGCGCGCAGGCGGCUAUCCAAGUCAGGCGUGAAAGCCCCGGGCUUAACCUGGGAGGUGCGUCUGGGACUGGGUGGCUAGAGUUCGGGAGAGGAGAGUGGAAUUCCCAGUGUAGAGGUGAAAUUCGUAGAUAUUGGGAAGAACACCGGUGGCGAAGGCGGCUCUCUGGACCGAGACUGACGCUGAGGCGCGAAAGCGUGGGGAGCAAACAGG
RNAcentral lists this ribosomal RNA (253 nucleotides) under uncultured bacterium. RNAcentral describes it as "partial 16S ribosomal RNA". It matches the Rfam family "Bacterial small subunit ribosomal RNA", at positions 524 to 776 of the family's 1533-position model. The record is from RNAcentral.